AUACGGAGGAUGCGAGCGUUAUCCGGAUUUAUUGGGUUUAAAGGGUGCGUAGGCGGUUUGCUAAGCGGGAGGUGAAAUGCCGGCGCUCAACGUCGGAAGUGCCUCCCGAACUGGUGGACUGGAAUGACUCUGCCGUGGGAGGAAUGUGUAGUGUAGCGGUGAAAUGCUUAGAGAUUACACAGAACACCGAUUGCGAAGGCAUCUCACGAAGGGUUGAUUGACGCUGAGGCACGAAAGCGUGGGGAUCAAACAGGAUUAGAUACCCUGGUAGUCCACGCAGUAAACGAUGAUCACUAGCUGUUUGCGAUACACUGUAAGCGGCACAGCGAAAGCGUUAAGUGAUCCACCUGGGGAGUACGCCGGCAACGGUGAAACUCAAAUGAAUUGGCGGGG
RNAcentral lists this ribosomal RNA (393 nucleotides) under uncultured bacterium. RNAcentral's name for it is "partial 16S ribosomal RNA". It matches the Rfam family "Bacterial small subunit ribosomal RNA", at positions 523 to 918 of the family's 1533-position model. The record is from RNAcentral.